UACGUAGGGGGCAAGCGUUAUCCGGAUUUACUGGGUGUAAAGGGAGCGCAGGCGGCAGGAUGAGUCUGAUGUGAAAACCCGCGGCUCAACCGGGGGAGUGCAUUGGAAACUGUCCAGCUAGAGUGUCGGAGAGGUAAGCGGAAUUCCUAGUGUAGCGGUGAAAUGCGUAGAUAUUAGGAGGAACACCAGUGGCGAAGGCGGCUUACUGGACGAUGACUGACGCUGAGGCUCGAAAGCGUGGGGAGCAAACA
RNAcentral lists this ribosomal RNA (251 nucleotides) under uncultured bacterium. Its description in RNAcentral is "partial 16S ribosomal RNA". It matches the Rfam family "Bacterial small subunit ribosomal RNA", at positions 524 to 774 of the family's 1533-position model. The record is from RNAcentral.